Molecule: small RNA, 29 nt
Filed under: Bombyx mori (domestic silkworm)
Lineage: Eukaryota; Metazoa; Arthropoda; Insecta; Lepidoptera; Bombycidae
Description: piRNA piR-bmo-1588359
Source: RNAcentral
UAUUGAGGGGCAUAUGUAACAAUACGACA